This 74-nucleotide transfer RNA is filed under the name Dialister micraerophilus DSM 19965. It matches the Rfam family "tRNA". From Rfam's summary of the family: Transfer RNA (tRNA) molecules are approximately 80 nucleotides in length. Their secondary structure includes four short double-helical elements and three loops (D, anti-codon, and T loops). Further hydrogen bonds mediate the characteristic L-shaped molecular structure. tRNAs have two regions of fundamental functional importance: the anti-codon, which is responsible for specific mRNA codon recognition, and the 3' end, to which the tRNAs corresponding amino acid is attached (by aminoacyl-tRNA synthetases). tRNAs cope with the degeneracy of the genetic code in two manners: having more than one tRNA (with a specific anti-codon) for a particular amino acid; and 'wobble' base-pairing, i.e. permitting non-standard base-pairing at the 3rd anti-codon position. Lineage: Bacteria; Bacillati; Bacillota; Negativicutes; Veillonellales; Veillonellaceae. The record is from Rfam by way of RNAcentral.
GCGUCCAUAGCUCAGAUGGAUAGAGCAGCGGUUUCCUAAACCGUGUGUCAGGGGUUCGACUCCCUUUGGGCGCA